AUCUUAUCUAGAGUGGUGGAGGGAAAGGCCCGAUGAAACCCGGCAACCAAGUCUUUUAAAGGCUCAGGUGCUAAUUCCUACAAAACGGAAAUUAGUUUUGUAAGAUAAGAG
RNAcentral lists this non-coding RNA (111 nucleotides) under Bacillus sp. (in: firmicutes). Its description in RNAcentral is "Bacillus sp. SAM-I sequence". It matches the Rfam family "SAM riboswitch aptamer (S box leader)". Rfam says of the family: The SAM riboswitch is found upstream of a number of genes which code for proteins involved in methionine or cysteine biosynthesis in Gram-positive bacteria. The SAM riboswitch acts at the level of transcription termination control. The predicted structure consists of a complex stem-loop region followed by a single stem loop terminator region. RNAcentral also lists the same sequence under 1 other name. Lineage: Bacteria; Bacillati; Bacillota; Bacilli; Caryophanales; Bacillaceae. The record is from RNAcentral.